GGUUAAGCGACUAAGCGUACACGGUGGAUGCCCUGGCAGUCAGAGGCGAUGAAGGACGUGCUAAUCUGCGAUAAGCGUCGGUAAGGUGAUAUGAACCGUUAUAACCGGCGAUUUCCGAAUGGGGAAACCCAGUGUGAUUCGUCACACUAUCAUUAACUGAAUCCAUAGGUUAAUGAGGCGAACCGGGGGAACUGAAACAUCUAAGUACCCCGAGGAAAAGAAAUCAACCGAGAUUCCCCCAGUAGCGGCGAGCGAACGGGGAGCAGCCCAGAGCCUGAAUCAGUGUGUGUGUUAGUGGAAGCGUCUGGAAAGGCGCGCGAUACAGGGUGACAGCCCCGUACACAAAAAUGCACAUGCUGUGAGCUCGAUGAGUAGGGCGGGACACGUGGUAUCCUGUCUGAAUAUGGGGGGACCAUCCUCCAAGGCUAAAUACUCCUGACUGACCGAUAGUGAACCAGUACCGUGAGGGAAAGGCGAAAAGAACCCCGGCGAGGGGAGUGAAAAAGAACCUGAAACCGUGUACGUACAAGCAGUGGGAGCACGCUUAGGCGUGUGACUGCGUACCUUUUGUAUAAUGGGUCAGCGACUUAUAUUCUGUAGCAAGGUUAACCGAAUAGGGGAGCCGAAGGGAAACCGAGUCUUAACUGGGCGUUAAGUUGCAGGGUAUAGACCCGAAACCCGGUGAUCUAGCCAUGGGCAGGUUGAAGGUUGGGUAACACUAACUGGAGGACCGAACCGACUAAUGUUGAAAAAUUAGCGGAUGACUUGUGGCUGGGGGUGAAAGGCCAAUCAAACCGGGAGAUAGCUGGUUCUCCCCGAAAGCUAUUUAGGUAGCGCCUCGUGAAUUCAUCUCCGGGGGUAGAGCACUGUUUCGGCAAGGGGGUCAUCCCGACUUACCAACCCGAUGCAAACUGCGAAUACCGGAGAAUGUUAUCACGGGAGACACACGGCGGGUGCUAACGUCCGUCGUGAAGAGGGAAACAACCCAGACCGCCAGCUAAGGUCCCAAAGUCAUGGUUAAGUGGGAAACGAUGUGGGAAGGCCCAGACAGCCAGGAUGUUGGCUUAGAAGCAGCCAUCAUUUAAAGAAAGCGUAAUAGCUCACUGGUCGAGUCGGCCUGCGCGGAAGAUGUAACGGGGCUAAACCAUGCACCGAAGCUGCGGCAGCGACGCUGAUGCGUUGUUGGGUAGGGGAGCGUUCUGUAAGCCUGCGAAGGUGUGCUGUGAGGCAUGCUGGAGGUAUCAGAAGUGCGAAUGCUGACAUAAGUAACGAUAAAGCGGGUGAAAAGCCCGCUCGCCGGAAGACCAAGGGUUCCUGUCCAACGUUAAUCGGGGCAGGGUGAGUCGACCCCUAAGGCGAGGCCGAAAGGCGUAGUCGAUGGGAAACAGGUUAAUAUUCCUGUACUUGGUGUUACUGCGAAGGGGGGACGGAGAAGGCUAUGUUGGCCGGGCGACGGUUGUCCCGGUUUAAGCGUGUAGGCUGGUUUUCCAGGCAAAUCCGGAAAAUCAAGGCUGAGGCGUGAUGACGAGGCACUACGGUGCUGAAGCAACAAAUGCCCUGCUUCCAGGAAAAGCCUCUAAGCAUCAGGUAACAUCAAAUCGUACCCCAAACCGACACAGGUGGUCAGGUAGAGAAUACCAAGGCGCUUGAGAGAACUCGGGUGAAGGAACUAGGCAAAAUGGUGCCGUAACUUCGGGAGAAGGCACGCUGAUAUGUAGGUGAAGUCCCUCGCGGAUGGAGCUGAAAUCAGUCGAAGAUACCAGCUGGCUGCAACUGUUUAUUAAAAACACAGCACUGUGCAAACACGAAAGUGGACGUAUACGGUGUGACGCCUGCCCGGUGCCGGAAGGUUAAUUGAUGGGGUCAGCGCAAGCGAAGCUCUUGAUCGAAGCCCCGGUAAACGGCGGCCGUAACUAUAACGGUCCUAAGGUAGCGAAAUUCCUUGUCGGGUAAGUUCCGACCUGCACGAAUGGCGUAAUGAUGGCCAGGCUGUCUCCACCCGAGACUCAGUGAAAUUGAACUCGCUGUGAAGAUGCAGUGUACCCGCGGCAAGACGGAAAGACCCCGUGAACCUUUACUAUAGCUUGACACUGAACAUUGAGCCUUGAUGUGUAGGAUAGGUGGGAGGCUU
RNAcentral lists this ribosomal RNA (2131 nucleotides) under Escherichia coli. RNAcentral describes it as "partial 23S ribosomal RNA". It matches the Rfam family "Bacterial large subunit ribosomal RNA", at positions 1 to 2157 of the family's 2925-position model. Lineage: Bacteria; Pseudomonadati; Pseudomonadota; Gammaproteobacteria; Enterobacterales; Enterobacteriaceae. The record is from RNAcentral.